Molecule: ribosomal RNA, 230 nt
Filed under: uncultured Lactobacillus sp.
Lineage: Bacteria; Bacillati; Bacillota; Bacilli; Lactobacillales; Lactobacillaceae
Description: partial 16S ribosomal RNA
Rfam family: Bacterial small subunit ribosomal RNA
Source: RNAcentral
AUAGUCUGGGAUACCACUUGGAAACAGGUGCUAAUACCGGAUAAGAAAGCGGAUCGCAUGAUCAGCUUUUAAAAGGCGGCGUAAGCUGUCGCUAUGGGAUGGCCCCGCGGUGCAUUAGCUAGUUGGUAAGGUAAAGGCUUACCAAGGCGAUGAUGCAUAGCCGAGUUGAGGGACUGAUCGGCCACAUUGGGACUGAGACACGGCCCAAACUCCUACGGGAGGCAGCAGCU